This 306-nucleotide long non-coding RNA is filed under the name Elaeis guineensis (African oil palm). RNAcentral's name for it is "long non-coding RNA (EGUI_LNC022228)". Lineage: Eukaryota; Viridiplantae; Streptophyta; Magnoliopsida; Arecales; Arecaceae. The record is from RNAcentral.
AGUCCAAAAUCGGAACCCUAUUCACCACCAUCUAUGUGCCAUACAAAUAUUUGCCCUCUAUGCGAACUAUUUCCGCCUUCUCACCAGUGAUAAAGGUGCACUGGUUCUCGGGAUGAUCUACACACCCGCAUAAAUGACAUAGCAUUGAUACAUUCUCAUAUUGGAAUUGCUGCCAGAAAUGCCGAUCUUGGAUGACAAUAUCAACUCCCAGACACAAAGGUUGAGACAAAUCUAGAUGCACACAUACUUUGGCAGGACCCAGUCACGCUCAUUCUCUUCAGAGAAUUGAAACAUCAGGUGACCCCC